AUCAGGAUCUCGACAAUCUCACUAAUGUACUUCCAUAUGAAGCAACACCUGCCUACUGUUCAUCCUUCUCCAGACCUGCUGAGGAGGGUGUUGGUAACAUCAUUGACCGGGAUCCAGAAAACCUCCCUGAUGUACUUCCGCAUGAAGGUGACGAUAAAUGCAACGAAGUAACAGUCACUGUCGAUGCUUCCUCAUCUGAAUCUGCUGAGGAUGUUGUUGGUAACAUCAUUGACCAGGAUCUUGGAAACCUUCCUGUUGUGCUUCCGGAUGAAGGUGACAAUAAAUGCAACGAAGCAACAGUCACUGUUGAUACUUUA
Molecule: unclassified non-coding RNA, 317 nt
Filed under: Hevea brasiliensis (rubber tree)
Lineage: Eukaryota; Viridiplantae; Streptophyta; Magnoliopsida; Malpighiales; Euphorbiaceae
Source: RNAcentral